AUUGAACGCUGGCGGCAUGCCUAACACAUGCAAGUCGAACGGUAACAGGCCCUUCGGGGCGCUGACGAGUGGCGGACGGGUGAGUAAUGCUUAGGAAUCUGCCUAGUAGUGGGGGAUAACCCGGGGAAACUCGGGCUAAUACCGCAUACGUCCUACGGGAGAAAGCGGGGGACCUUCGGGCCUCGCGCUAUUAGAUGAGCCUAAGUCCGAUUAGCUAGUUGGUAGGGUAACGGCCUACCAAGGCGACGANCGGUAGCUGGUCUGAGAGGACGACCAGCCACACUGGGACUGAGACACGGCCCA
Molecule: ribosomal RNA, 303 nt
Filed under: uncultured bacterium
Lineage: Bacteria
Description: bacterial SSU rRNA
Rfam family: Bacterial small subunit ribosomal RNA
Source: RNAcentral